This 301-nucleotide ribosomal RNA is filed under the name uncultured bacterium. RNAcentral's name for it is "partial 16S ribosomal RNA". It matches the Rfam family "Bacterial small subunit ribosomal RNA", at positions 509 to 807 of the family's 1533-position model. The record is from RNAcentral.
CAGCAGCCGCGGUAAUACGGAGGAUGCAAGCGUUAAUCGGAAUUACUGGGCGUAAAGCGCACGCAGGCGGUCUGACAAGUCAGAUGUGAAAUCCCCGGGCUUAACCUGGGAACUGCAUUUGAAACUGUCAGGCUGGAGUCUUGUAGAGGGGGGUGGAAUUCCAGGUGUAGCGGUGAAAUGCGUAGAGAUCUGGAGGAAUACCGGUGGCGAAGGCGGCCCCCUGGACAAAGACUGACGCUCAGGUGCGAAAGCGUGGGGAGCAAACAGGAUUAGAUACCCCUGUAGUCCCUGUCUCUUAUAC